AGCAGCCGCGGUAAUUCCAGCUCCAAUAGCGUAUAUUAAAGUUGUUGCAGUUAAAAAGCUCGUAGUUGAAUUUCGGGAUCAGUUGGUCGGUCGUGCCUCGGUACGUACUGGUCAAAUUGAUUCCUACCUUCUGACGAACCACGAUGCCAUUAAUUUGGUGUCGCGGGAAAUCAGGACUGUUACUUUGAAAAAAUUAGAGUGUUUAAAGCAGGCUCGCGCUUGAAUACAUUAGCAUGGAAUAAUGAAAUAGGACGUUUGAUUCUAUUUUGUUGGUUUCUAGGAUCGACGUAAUGAUUAAUAGGGAUAGUUGGGGGCAUUAGUAUUCAAUUGUCAGAGGUGAAAUUCUUGGAUUUAUUGAAGACUAACUACUGCGAAAGCAUUUGCCAAGGAUGUUUUCAUUAAUCAAGAACGAAAGUUAGGGGAUCGAAGACGAUCAGAUACCGUCGUAGUCUUAACCAUAAACUAUGCCGACUAGGAAUCGGAUGAUGUUAAUUUUUAAUGACUCAUUCGGCGCCUUACG
This 520-nucleotide unclassified non-coding RNA is filed under the name uncultured Glomus. RNAcentral's name for it is "SSU rRNA". It matches the Rfam family "Eukaryotic small subunit ribosomal RNA", at positions 569 to 1092 of the family's 1831-position model. The record is from RNAcentral. Lineage: Eukaryota; Fungi; Glomeromycota; Glomeromycetes; Glomerales; Glomeraceae.